This 549-nucleotide ribosomal RNA is filed under the name uncultured bacterium. RNAcentral describes it as "bacterial SSU rRNA". It matches the Rfam family "Bacterial small subunit ribosomal RNA", at positions 355 to 896 of the family's 1533-position model. The record is from RNAcentral.
UAGGGAAUCUUCCGCAAUGGGCGAAAGCCUGACGGAGCAACGCCGCGUGAGUGAUGAAGGUCUUCGGAUCGUAAAACUCUGUUAUUAGGGAAGAACAAAUGUGUAAGUAACUAUGCACGUCUUGACGGUACCUAAUCAGAAAGCCACGGCUAACUACGUGCCAGCAGCCGCGGUAAUACGUAGGUGGCAAGCGUUAUCCGGAAUUAUUGGGCGUAAAGCGCGCGUAGGCGGUUUUUUAAGUCUGAUGUGAAAGCCCACGGCUCAACCGUGGAGGGUCAUUGGAAACUGGAAAACUUGAGUGCAGAAGAGGAAAGUGGAAUUCCAUGUGUAGCGGUGAAAUGCGCAGAGAUAUGGAGGAACACCAGUGGCGAAGGCGACUUUCUGGUCUGUAACUGACGCUGAUGUGCGAAAGCGUGGGGAUCAAACAGGAUUAGAUACCCUGGUAGUCCACGCCGUAACGAUGAGUGCUAAGUGUUAGGGGGUUUCCGCCCCUUAGUGCUGCAGCUAACGCAUUAAGCACUCCGCCUGGGGAGUACGACCGCAAGGUUG